GGGGGCCUGAGCCACAGAAAUGUCUUCUCUCACAGUUCUGAGGCUGGAAGUCCAAGUUCAAGGUGUCGACAGGUAUAGUUUCCUCUGAGGCCUCUCUCCCUGGCGUGCAGAUGGCCGCCUUCUCCGUGUGGUCUUUUCUCUGUGCAUGGGCACCCCGCUGUCUCUCUCUGGGUCCACAUUUCCUUCUCUUCUAAGGUCAUCUGUUGGAUUGAAUCAGGGCCCACCCUAGUGGUCUCAGAUGAACGGAAGCCCCUCGCUCAGGGCUCUUUCUCCAAAUACAGCCACAUUCUGAGUUGCCGGGGCUGAGAGUUCCCAUAUUUGGAGGGAACACAGUCUGGCUCGUAUGGGGGCAAGGUUAGACCUGGGGAGACCAGUUAGGGGGUGAGCAAGCGAUGACGGCGGCUCGGAGCAGAGCCGUAGAUGUGGAAGUGUGAGGAGGAGUCCGAUUCCACAGUGGCCUACGUGGAGUAGGAUGUCCCAAGAUGGACUGGAUGGAGAGUGCGAAGAAGGAAACGAGUCAAGGCUGCCUCCAGACUUUCUGGCCUGGGCGCCCGGAAGCCUGAGGUUGGCAUUGCCUGAGACAGAGGAAACGGUGGGAGGAGCACCUCUGGGGAGAUGCUGAGGGUUCUGUGUGGGACACAUUAAGUUUGAGAUACCUGCUCAGAAUCUAAGCAGAAAUGUGUAGUGGUCGGUAGGUACCCGUGGAGUUUAGGACAGAGGUCAGGGUUUCCUGACAUUUAAUUAUUCUUUCUUAAUCCUGUGGUUUCUUAUAAUAGUUUAUCAAGAGCUAAUUCACAUCCUGUAAAAUUCAGCCUUCUAAAGUGUACAUUUUGGUGGAUUUUUAGUGUAUUCAUAGGAUUGUGCAACCAUCACCGCCGCCUAAUUUCAUAACAUUUUCAUCCCCCUAAAGAAACCCCAUCCCCAUCCCCAGGCACUCCCGUUCCUCUGUCCCCUCAAGCCCUUGGCCAUCAGUAAUCCCCUUCCUCUCUAUAGACAGGCCUCUUCCGGGCCUUUCCCAAACCUGGAAUCACAUAAUAUGUGGCCUUUUGUGUCCGGCUUCUUUCACUGAGCAUCAUGUUUCCAAGGUCCAUCUGUGACCAUCAGUCCUUCCUUAUUGUGGCUGAAUAAUAUUCCAUUGUAUGCCUAAGCUGUAAUUUGUGUAUCCACUUAUCAGCUGGUGGGAUAAUUGGGUUGUUUCCACUUUGGGGCUAUUACGAAUAGUGCUGCAAUGAGCACAGCAUUCAUGUACCAGUUUUUGUGUGAACACAUGUUUUCAAUUCUCUUGAGUAUAUACUUAGAAGUGGAAUGCUAGGUCAUAGGGUGGCUCUAUGUUUAAUUUUUUGAGGAAUUUUAAAACUGUUUUCUAAAGCAGCUGCACCAUUUUACAUUCCUACCAGCAAUGUGUGAAGAUUCCAAUUUCUCCCGAUACGCACUAACCCUCAUUGUUCUGUCUUUUUGAUUACAGCCAUCCGAGUGGGUGUGAAGCGGUAUCUCAUUGAGUUUUGAUCUGCAAUUCCCGGAAUAUUAAUGAUGUUGAGCAUUUUUCAUGGGCUUAUCAGCCCCUUGUCUAUCUUUUUUUUUUUUAGAAAAAUAUUUGUUCAGAUUCUUUGCCUCUUUUAAUUGGGUUAUUUGUCCUUUUAUUUUUUGGGUUCUAAGAGUUCCUUGUAUAUUCUGGAUACAGUUCUCUCUCUGAAUUACGCUUUAUCAAUAGUUCUCUCUAUUCCAUGGGUCAUCUUUUCCUUUCUUGAUGAUGUUCUCUGAAGCACAAAGUUUUUAAUUUUGAUGAACUGACAUAUAAGUUUGGGAGCCAUCAGCACACACAUGUUAUUUUAAGCCACGAGCCUCCAUGCAAUCCUCUAAGAUGUAGUUUGGUAAAGAAUUAAGGGAGUGGACACGAUCAAGGACUUGCCCAUCCUCAGAGGUCCGAGAUGUAAGAAGACACCAGCCAAAGAGACUAAGAAGGACCCCACUCCCUCUUUCCCUCGUCUCUCCGUUCUGGAGUGUUCAUUCCAAGAGGCAACAGUAAAUUCAAAGUUCUGUCAUUUUGUUCAUUUUUAAGGCAGUAUCUCAGUUCUCUUUUUCAAGGCCACAUGAACUCCAGGGGUUCUGUGGCUGUUCUGGUGAGGCGUCCUUUUACUUUCAUGACACUGAUCAGAUGACCUGAUGGCCUCUGCCUGCAAACCUCUCCGUAUUCUCACCUCAGAUUACUUUUGCUUUUACACGAAGUGAGUAACCACAUUGUCACUUGAAGCUACACCUGUUGAGAAGAUUCUCACUUUCCAUCUCAGCCAGUCAUCCCAUGUGUUGCAGCCUCCAUCCACUUUUGCUUUGUACCAACCAGCCCAGCUCAUCUCUAAAGCACGCUAGGGCCUCUUCCUCUGCCUGCAGCUGGUCUUAAGAACAUCCAGCAUGGACUAGAUGUCAUCUGGAUGCUUGAGCCACUGUGAUAGGUGACCUGGGACUCUGGACUAUCCAUCCAUGGAGCUUGGUCCCAGAUAUACCAUUUCCAACUUACAUUGAACUGCUGCUGGGCCCACCCAACUCUCUGACUUGGUGGGUCUGACAGACCCCAGCUCAUAAUAGGUAACCGUAGACUGUCUCUCUUGGGACCCAGUAAUACAACACGAGUUGUUUCCCUGAAGGUAUGUGCUUGUCUGCUGCAGAUUGCGUGGCCCUGCCUUAGCAUCCUGAAGCUGCAUCGUGAUUCUCCCACUGGCUCUAUCAGCAAUUCGUCUUUUAAUUUAGAGGGGGUGUUCUGGUGCAUCUCGGACCAGUGGACCCCUGAAAACUCCCCCGUGGCUGUGGCCAGUUGCCGAAUGGUCAUAGCAUUCACAUCCCACCCUGUGUGGUACACUGGUCUUACCAAGGCUUCCAGUGCUCGGCCAUCUCUUGCUCAUUCUGUCUGAUGAGCCUGAUGCCAUCAAUGUAACCAAUGACUGAUGUUCCAUGGAAGGUCCAGGUGGUCCAGAUCUCUUUGGACUAUGUUAUCACCAAAGCCGAGAGAGCUAAGAGAGAUGGAGGCACAACUAAAUAAGCAUUAUCGGUGUCAUGAUCACGAGAACUAUUUCUGGAUCUUCUUUUCUUGCAAAAAGAGGAAACAUUUACCAAACCAGGAGCCACACACCACAUACGUUAGGCCUUAUGAAUCUUCUAGAGCAAAAAAUACCUCGUCUAUCACAGCAGCUACAGUCAGGCCUACUGAGUCGUUGAGUUGCAGUCAUCCCCAGGCAUUCUCCAGAUCUGUCGCUCUCUGCAGGGCUCCAGCUGGCAGAUCAAGUGAAGAUACAAGAGGGGCCAUCAUCUCCUUUAAGUAUUGAGUGGUGAUAUUAGUCUUUUCCAAUCCUCAGGGAUGAACUAUUUUUUUAUUUCCCUUCUUGGCCAGGCAGGAGGGGGCACCUUCAGAAGUUUCCAUUUGCCCUUCUUCACUCUGAUGGCUCUUAUGCCAAAGGCCAAAGACCCAAUGUGGAAAUUAUACCCACUGCUAAACUUAAUCCCAAUUUGACACUGGAGGAUGGGGGAGAUGACCACAGACCCCGUAGACCUACCAGGAGCCAGAUAUUGACCAUGAAUCCAUUUGUAACCUGGUUCCUACGAGCCCUCACUCUACAGGAGACCAAGGUAGGGCUCUGUGUCUCUGGCUGUCAGUGUCACCACAGGAAUGCCCAAGGGUCUUUCAAACACCUGGAUCUCCCCACUUUCUUCGUGUGCAAUAACCUGAGUACAUGUUCUAGUAUAUACGUGGGGUGAUGUCACUGGGUCCUUUCUGUUAAUAACGCAUCUACCUCUGCCACCAGCAGGUUCUGGAUCUGAAAAGUGACUUGAUCCAGACACUGAGUGAGGGCCCAUGACUGCUUCUUGGAUCCACUGCCCUUAGUCUCCUGUGUCUCCACACUUGCUUUGUUGUUGUGAUAAAUGGCGUCACUCCGAGCUGCCCCCUGUGUUACAUCUAGGAUGGCGCUGCUCUGUCAGCAAUCUCCACACCCCAUCGGUCACCCCUCCAGACUUGCUGGUUGUUAUGGUGAAACGCACCAGAGCUGGCUCCCGCUAAUUGACAUCUGGCUUCUGUCCCUUGUGAAGGUGGGGUCACCCCCAGCUCUGUGACUCCCCCUCUGGCCUGCAGAGGAGAGCCACCACCAGACUUCUUGGUGACCUUAAGUUAAUAAGGUCCUGGUGGCCUUAGUUCAUGGUGUGUCCUCUGGAUCCUUUCAUAGAACAGGAUCUGGUGACCCCCUGACCUCACAUAACGGAUCCAUUCCAGCUUUCAGCUUCUUUAUUCCUCCCUCUUCUCUCUUUUAGAGCGAAUCAUGCAUGCCACUUUGUCCGCAUGGGCUCAUCACUCUCUCCAGGCUUCUGAGCACUAUUGGAUUUGUUGUCUCUGGCGGUGGAAUAAACACCCUAAAACCUGGUGACUUUGAAGAACACCAGGUCUUUCACAAUUGUGGGUCAGGUGGGAAGGGGCUUUGCUGAGUGGUUCUGGCUCAGGGACCCUCAUGAGGUUGCCGUCAAGGUGUCAGUGGGGCCGCAUCAUCUGAAGCUUGGGUGGGGGCUGGAGGAGUGGCUUCUGAGAAGGCUCACGGGCACGGCUGGCCGUUGGUGCUGGCUGGGGUGUCCUGUUCUCUUCCCUGUGACCUCUCAUCCUCCAGAAUCUCUCUCUGGAGGUGGCUUCUCCUGCAAGAUAGUCUGGACUUCUCGUGGUGCCUGGACUUUGGAAAAGAAGGAAAAGGUAUUUGUCAGGAGGGCAGAAAGAGCACCAGGAGAGAGAGAGAGAGAAAGCCUCAGACGUAAGCCAGCCUCAUCAUGGACAUGGCAUCCGUCACUCUGGCAUAUUCUACUUGGUGGGAGUCACAAGUCCAGCCCAUCGUCAGUGGGAAGGGAUGACGAAAGGCCAUGGACACCAGGAGGGGGGCCAUGGGGCCCGUCUUGGAGGCCGCCGGCCAUAGCAACGCCAGCAGCAAGGUCACCUGGACCCCUGUGGUCCUUGAAGGAUAUUAAAUGUCAUGUCCCAAGAAAGUGCCUCCAAGUCCAAGUCUUUGGCGUCCUGUGUUCUUGCCCUUUGAUGAAGAACCCCCAAAUCUGGGAGUUCCCAUUGUGGCUCAGCAGAAAUGACCUCACUGGUACCCAGGAGGGUGUGGGUUCAAUCCCUGGCCUCUCUCAGGGGGUUAAGGAUCCAGGCAUUGCUGUGAACUGUGGUGUAGGUCGCAGAUGCAGCUCAGAUCCCACAUUGCUGUGGCUCUGGUGUAGGCUGGCAGCUGUAGCUUGGAUUAGACCCCUGGCCUGGGAACCUCCAUAGGCUGUGGGUGCGGCCCCAAAACGAAAAAAAAAAAAAAAAAAAAA
This 5334-nucleotide long non-coding RNA is filed under the name Sus scrofa (pig). RNAcentral describes it as "lncRNA (ENSSSCG00025046360.1)". The record is from RNAcentral. Lineage: Eukaryota; Metazoa; Chordata; Mammalia; Artiodactyla; Suidae.